RNAcentral lists this ribosomal RNA (253 nucleotides) under uncultured bacterium. RNAcentral's name for it is "partial 16S ribosomal RNA". It matches the Rfam family "Bacterial small subunit ribosomal RNA", at positions 524 to 776 of the family's 1533-position model. The record is from RNAcentral.
UACGUAGGGGGCUAGCGUUGUCCGGAAUCAUUGGGCGUAAAGAGCGUGUAGGCGGCCCGGUAAGUCCGCUGUGAAAGUCGGGGGCUCAACCCUCGAAUGCCGGUGGAUACUGUCGGGCUAGAGUGCGGAAGAGGCGAGUGGAAUUCCUGGUGUAGCGGUGAAAUGCGCAGAUAUCGGGAGGAACACCAAUGGCGAAGGCAGCUCGCUGGGACGUUACUGACGCUGAGACGCGAAAGCGUGGGGAGCAAACAGG